AAACGCUUGAAGUCAGUCGCGACGUUCGGGACUCAGCCUUGCUUCUGCUUGGUGUACUUCCUGUUCGUUGGGUCAGCAUCAGUUUUGGUCGGUGGAAAAAGGUGUGGAGAACGUGGCAUCUUCGGGUGUGUUAUAGCCUCUUGUUGUAUACAUUGGUUGGGACUGAGGAAUUCAGCACGCCGCAAGGCCGGGUUUUUAACCACGUUCGUGCUUAGGAUGCUGGCAUAAUGGCUUUAAUCGA
Molecule: ribosomal RNA, 241 nt
Filed under: Omphalotaceae sp.
Lineage: Eukaryota; Fungi; Basidiomycota; Agaricomycetes; Agaricales; Omphalotaceae
Description: partial large subunit ribosomal RNA
Source: RNAcentral